UGAGUAACACGUGGGUGAUCUGCCCUGCACUUCGGGAUAAGCCUGGGAAACUGGGUCUAAUACCGGAUAGGACCACGGGAUGCAUGUCCUGUGGUGGAAAGCUUUUGCGGUGUGGGAUGGGCCCGCGGCCUAUCAGCUUGUUGGUGGGGUGACGGCCUACCAAGGCGACGACGGGUAGCCGGCCUGAGAGGGUGUCCGGCCACACUGGGACUGAGAUACGGCCCAGACUCCUACGGGAGGCAGCAGUGGGGAAUAUUGCACAAUGGGCGCAAGCCUGAUGCAGCGACGCCGCGUGGGGGAUGACGGCCUUCGGGUUGUAAACCUCUUUCACCAUCGACGAAGGUCCGGGUUUUCUCGGAUUGACGGUAGGUGGAGAAGAAGCACCGGCCAACUACGUGCCAGCAGCCGCGGUAAUACGUAGGGUGCGAGCGUUGUCCGGAAUUACUGGGCGUAAAGAGCUCGUAGGUGGUUUGUCGCGUUGUUCGUGAAAUCUCACGGCUUAACUGUGAGCGUGCGGGCGAUACGGGCAGACUGGAGUACUGCAGGGGAGACUGGAAUUCCUGGUGUAGCGGUGGAAUGCGCAGAUAUCAGGAGGAACACCGGUGGCGAAGGCGGGUCUCUGGGCAGUAACUGACGCUGAGGAGCGAAAGCGUGGGGAGCGAACAGGAUUAGAUACCCUGGUAGUCCACGCCGUAAACGGUGGGUACUAGGUGUGGGUUUCCUUCCUUGGGAUCCGUGCCGUAGCUAACGCAUUAAGUACCCCGCCUGGGGAGUACGGCCGCAAGGCUAAAACUCAAAGGAAUUGACGGGGGCCCGCACAA
Molecule: ribosomal RNA, 821 nt
Filed under: Mycobacterium sp.
Lineage: Bacteria; Bacillati; Actinomycetota; Actinomycetes; Mycobacteriales; Mycobacteriaceae
Description: bacterial SSU rRNA
Rfam family: Bacterial small subunit ribosomal RNA
Source: RNAcentral